UUUCCGUAGGUGAACCUGCGGAAGGAUCAUUAACGAGUUAGGGUCUUUUAGGCCCGACCCCCCAACCCUAUGUUUAUUGAACCUCUGUUGCUUCGGCGGACCCGUCUCACGGCCGCCGGAGGACCGCUGCGAGGUGUCCUCUGGUCAGCGUCCGCCGAUGGCCAACCCACUAAACUCUGAAUGAACCGUGUUAUAUGUCUAAGUCUAUGAUUAAAUUAAAGCAAAACUUUCAACAACGGAUCUCUUGGUUCUG
This 253-nucleotide unclassified non-coding RNA is filed under the name plant metagenome. Its description in RNAcentral is "partial contains small subunit ribosomal RNA, internal transcribed spacer 1, and 5.8S ribosomal RNA". The record is from RNAcentral.